AACACUGAUACAUCUAUCCGAAAAGCAUUUAAACUGUCUGAAAAUUGGAGUUGAUGGGACAUGUCCCCAACUAACUCCGUCUAUUGAAAAUAACUAAAUCUAAUGCGAUAAUAAAAUAACGAUCAUCCUCGACUGAAGAGGACUCACUGCUACAUCUAUUGCUGUUGACUGGGACUAAGCUGCAAAGGGUACUCUGGAUCUCGUGCCUCUGAACCUAUGGUGUCAAAAAAAAACACAAUAGCGCAAAUGUGUCAGUACAGGAAUAUACCUAGUAUGAAGAUGAGGUAAGGCAAAAUGGAAGGGCUUAUGCAUGAACAAUUAUUUAACUGAAUAAUCAUGAGAGUACUGAAUGAGAACACAUGCAUGAAUGCACAAAUCAUAACUGAAAUCAUCGAGACUCAAAAUACUAAAACUCAAAUACCACUUUACUGCCAUCUGAAAUCACUACUAAUACUGAGAUACUGAAUAACUUAAUAUCCUUAUAUUGAUAACUAAGUACAGGAAUUUAGAUCAUUCCUCUCUAGCAAGUGAUCUCGGAAACUGAUGUUACUGGAGCUGAUUAUCUAAAUCUACUCACAUCAAUGACUGCACUCUAAACUUGCUACACUUAUCUAACUGAAUCGAAGAUCAAACCUCUCAAAUGGAUGAUCCCUAAAUUGACUAUCAAUGACAAGAAAAGAUUUUAGCUGAGAUCGAACCUAUCUAGCGGAGGAUCUCUUAAUCUGAUAAUAAGAAUACUCAACUAAAUCUGACACUAGGUUCAAGCCUAUCUAACGGGUGAUCUCUAGAUCUGAUAAUGAGAUUACUCAACUGAAUCUAAGACUGAGAUCAAGACUAUCUAAUGGGUGAUCUCUGGAUCUGAUAAUGAGAUUUCUCAACUGAAUCUGAGACUGAGAUCAAGCCUAUCUAAUGGGUGAUCUCUGGAUCUAAUAAUGAGAUUACUCAACUAAAUCUGAGAAUGAGACCAAGCCUAUCUAACAGGUGAUCUCUGGAUCUAAUAAUGAGAUUACUCAACCAAAUCUGAGACUGAGAUCAAGCCUAUCUAAUGGGUGAUCUCUGAAUAUGAUAAUGAGAUUACUCAACUAAAUCUGAGACUGAGAUCAAGCCUAUCUAACGGGUGAUCUCUAGAUCUGAUAACACUGAUACUGAAUAUCUUUAUGUGAGACCAUGCCUAUCUAUUGGGUGGUCCAUGAAUCAAUGGAACUAUCAUCUGAUAAUGAGAUUACUCAACUAAAUCUGAGACUGAGAUCAAGCCUAUAUAACAGGUGAUCUCUGAAUCUAAUAAUGAGAUUACUCAACUAAAUUUGAGACUGAGUUUAAGCCUAUCUAACGGGUGAUAUCUAGAUCUGAUAAUGAUAUUACUCAACUGAAUCUAAGACUAAGAUCAAGACUAUCUAAUGGGUAAUCUCUGGAUCUGAUAAUGAGAUUACUCAACUAAAUAUAAGACUGAGAUCAAGCCUAUCUAACGGGUGAUCUCUAGAUCUGAUAAUGAGAUUACUUAACUAAAUCUGAGACUAAGAUCAAGCCUAUCUAACAGUUGAUCUAUGGAUCUAAUAAUGAAUUACUCAACUGAACCUGAGACUGAGAUCAAGCCUAUCUAAUAGGUGAUCUCUGGAUAUGAUAAUCAGAUUACUCAACUAAAUUUGAGACUGACAUCAAGCCAAUCUAAUGGGUAAUCUCUGGAUCUGAUAACACUGAUACUGAAUAUCUUUAUGUAAGACCAUGCCUAUCUAGUGGGUUGUCCAUGAAUCAAUAGAACUAUCAUCUGAUAAUGAGAUUACUCAACUAAAUCUGAGACUGAGAUCAAGCCUAUCUAAAUGAUGAUCUCUGGAUCUAAUAAUGAAAUUACUCAACUGAAUCUGAGACUGAGUUCAAGCCUAUCUAACGGGUGAUCUCUGGAUCUAAUAAUGGAUUACUCAAAUCAAUCUGAGACUGAGAUCAAGCCUAUCUAAUGGGUGAUCUAUGGAUAUAAUAAUGAGAUUACUCAACUAAAUCUGAGACUGAGAUCAAGCCUAUUUAAUGGGUGAUCUCUGGAUCUGAUAAUACUGAUACUGAAUAUCUUUAUGUGAGACCAUGCCUAUCUAGUGGAUGGUCCAUGAAUCAAUGAAACUAUCUAUGUUCCUUACUGAGAUAGGUGACUCUAUCUGAUAGUCCUGAUUUUCUGAGUUCUACUCUAAAGACUGAUACUAAAAAUGUAACUGUGGGAGUUCUCACUUAACCGACAUGCCUCGAAUCUUAACUGGUGGGGUCCAACCUGUAACUCCAGCUGGAAGGGUGACUUCUGCUUCUGCACUGGCUAUGUAGUUCUAGAGUUCAGGGAUUGCUCCUAACGACUCUGGCUCUCUAACAGGGAGACGCCAUCCCUGCACUCGCUCGGUGCUAGCUCCUACUCCCAACUAAAAAAACCUAAACUGAUUCUUAACUGAACUUAAACUGAGCUGAAUCUGUUACUGAUUAUAUUUCUCGAAUGACCUGACUGAGUUAUGCUGAUUUUACUUAGUUCCAUAUCUAACGAAAUACUACUGAAUCUCUUUAACUGACUGCAUGAUACAGAGUUCUGAACUGAACACUUGAAUACUACUAUAUCAGAGUUGAGUACUAAACUGAGGCUAGAAUACUAGUGACACUGAGAUUACUGAGAUUUCUGAGAUUUCUUAAGUUUUGUAUCUAUCUGAGAGUACAGAGUUCUAUAACUCAUUGAGUUCUAAGAAUCGUGGCUUAACCAAGAUUAUUGAGGAAACUGACACAGGCUCUAGACUGUAGCUAAUUUGUUGGGUAUAAAUAACACCAAGACUCAAUAACAUAAAAGUAAAACAUAACCAUUCUUGAAUAAUCAAGACCAUGGACAUUCAUUCACCAUCACAAUCACUAAAGCAUCUCUUCAAGUAUUUAGAAAUCAUAAACAUGUGAUAGUAUAGAGAUACAUCCUAUUGGCUCAUACUCCGUUUAACAAGGUCUUACAUCAAACACUCAGCAUGUAUUAAAGUCUUAGCAUGUAUCGAAGAGCACAUAAUUGGGGAAUUUCAUGCUAUCAUGCCAUAAUUCAUUAACUAUGGCUUUUCAACAAACACUUGGGAUUCAUGGGUUUGCACACAAUUGGGAAUUUCUAGUUCACAUGCUAUAAUGGCUUUAAUUCUAUCACAUAAGCAUUUUAUCAAACAUAUGGGGAGCAUGCUUUGGUUAUUCACAAUUUCUACCCUUAAUUGACAUAAAAAACUCACCUAACAUGCAACUUGAAGAGGGUUUAUCAUGAACAUCACAUGAAUAUCAUAUACUAGGAUCAAAGCUUGAAACUUUGUAAAUAAAACAUGAAUUAAAACUCAAUAAGAACGUGAACUUCAGUUUCAAUUAACAUGAAUCAUGAAAAAUCAUAAAUAUAAGAUCUUUGAAUUUAGAAAAUGAUUCUUGAUCUUCUUGGGUGGAAGGAACCCAAAAAUCAACAUCUGCAUACCUUGUUAUAUGAUUCUCGGAAGAUUUACGAAGGAAUCUUGAUGACUUGGGUCUUAGAUUAGAAACCCUAGGUCUUGUUUUUGAUUUCUUAAGGGAGAAAAUAUUUUGAUUUGGGGAAAAAUUGAUGAAUAAAGAAGUAUUUUCAUUAUUUAAGGUAUGGAUACCUUAUAUAGACUGGUUUGGGGCUUUAGGAAAUGACCAAUUGGUCCGUGAAAUUUAAAAAUGGAAUCUGAAAAUCUCGAUUUCACAUACUGGUGCAAUUGAGAAAUUGCGUUACCACCUAGAAACUGGACAAUUGGGAAACUGGUUGGUGGCACGACGCAGUGGUAAUCGCGUUACCACCUUGGUUGUGAACUGGAAAGGCAUCGCGAGGCGGCCGAAUCACGUUGGUGCACUAGAAAUUGACAACUCUGAAAUUAAGCCUUGAUGCGAUGCACCACAAUCACGAAGGCGCACUAGAUUUUGACGAUUGCCAUUUUGGCCGGCUCCGUGACGCGCUAAAGUGCCAGGUGGCACAUUGUCUCACUAAAAUGGCUCUAACUCUUCGCCCGAGUGUCGGAUUUAGGCAAAUUUAGUAUCGUUGGAAAGCUUAUUUAAUUUUCUACAUGACAAAAAGUUGAUAUUAGGGAAAUUCUAUAUGGUUCAAAAUACUUCUCACUUGGGAAGGCACUUCUCAACCUUUUAGGGUCAGAUUAACACUUUAUUAAACACGCUCUAAGGCUCAGACUAUGAGAGAAUUUUGUAGGGUCUUACAAUAUGUCCCCCUUAGAAACAUUCAUCCUCGAAUGUCGCUUGAUAGGCUAUGAAUACUGAUCGAAUGAACUUACUCAAGGAAUGGGAGCAUCUGAAACAUGACCAUGCAAUUGGAACAACGGAUAAACUGAGCUCUUAUACUAGACAUGCAUAUAUGAUGCUUGGAAAACGCGACUGAAGCUACUCAGAAGCUGAAUUCUCAUAAUAGACAUGCAUAUCUGAUCCAUGGAUUUGUAAUUGAGUUGUUCUCAUAAAUGGAUGACUGAAUACACUGAAAAAUUGAACUUUUUCUACAGAAAAUGGAUAUCUAAUGCAUGAAUGUCUGACUGAACUGACUCUCAAAAGCAUGACUGGCUAUAUAAUGACAACUAACGUUAACUUCGUAAGGAAAGUCUAAACAUACAAAUUAAUGAGUCUAAGGACAUGAACGCGUUAUAAAUCAUAGCUUAUCUCCCCCUUGGGACUAUGUCCCUCUAAACACACUUUGCUGAAAUACUGGAGCAGUGCACGGGGUACCUACGAACUGGUUCAUGAUUGAUCGAAUGAGAUCUUAAACUAAUGCAUGACUCAUGCUGACAUAUAAGCUCAAAAUGGGACAAAAGGAUCUAACAAUGCAUAUUAUAAAGAUGAAGGACUAAUAACAUACCCGAAUCUAUAUUAGGGAACCUUUCCUGAUCAUGGUGGAUCUGAAGCGCAAGAAGUCUGUUCUGACACUGACCACUAUUGGCACCGGAAGGGGCACUCUGCUGACUAAACUCUUUACCCAUCUAAGCUAGCAAUCUAUACUAUCGCAUUCUGUGGACUAGCUCACCAAACCUAAAGCACGUAUCACUACUGGCUCUACACACACCUAGGUGACUCUUUCCAUACUCUCCACAAAGCGGAUAGGUAUGAACACCACUAGCACUACUCUGGGAUCUAGAGCCUAGCGCUCUAUCAUGACUGAUAUCCCCGAACUUUGGUGCAGGUACACUAGCUGUGGAUGGAGUUGGGACUAAAAAUCUUUGGUUAUGCUGAGAAUGGCUACCACCCUUGGACCCCGACUAAGAGAAACCAUGACUACCUAUUCUGGCUUUCUUACUCACUCUCUCUUUUUUUUGUCUUAUCUACCUCAAUCUAUUGUGCAUGCAUCAUCAGUCUAUAAAGGUCCAUAUCUCUAUUUAGAAUAGCAUCCCUAUACUCUUUCAAUACUAACCUGGAUACACAAGUCACAAACUUACUCAUACUCGCUCUAGGGUCAGCUAUCAAGUCAGGAGCAUACUUAGCUAACUGGUUGAAGUGAAGACAAUACUCUUUCACUGUCAUAGAGCCUUCCCUUAGGUUUAUGAACUCCUCUACCUUUGCCUCUCUCAUCUCUAGCAGGAAAAACUUAUCUAGAAAGGUAUCCUGAAACUCUUACCAAGUCACGGGAGCUACAUCUUCCCCUCUACCUUUCUUCCACAUCACUACCCAAUCAUGAGCAAUAUCCUUCAGCCUAUAGGACACUAACUCUACACUCUCCUCCUUAUAAAUAUGCAUAAUCUGGGUGAUCUUCCUCACCUCCUCUAGAUAAAGUUAUGGGUCCUCAACUGCUACUGACCCAAAUAUUUAUGGUGGGCUAAUCCUCAUGAAAUCUCUAAUUAUGGCUACGGCUGAACCCCCAUCUUGAUGAGAUAAGGCCACAGCCUGCCAGUUCCCCUAAACAUUAGUCGUCACAGCUUGGGCUAGCAUAUGAAAAGCUGCCCAAACUUGGCGUAUGACAUACUUUCAUUCUCAGGAUCUACUGUUGAGGUGGCUGGUCAUCAACCCUAUGGGCACUAUCUUUGUGAGGAGGCAUACUGUAUAAAUGAAAGAAAGAGGUGUAUUAGACUAAGGAUCAACUUGAUCUCAUGCUCACUCGCACGACAUAAAUACUAAAAGAAGAGAAACUGCUCCUAAAAACAUCUUAUAGCCUCUUGUACCUAAGUGUGGCAUGCAAUACACCCAUGCACAAGACUCUACUAGAUGUGGUAUUUUAGACUCCCUAGGACACUAUUGAACCUUAGGCUCUGAUACCAAGUUUGUAACAACCUAAUUUUUUUAGAACUGGAAUGUCACACGAUGCUCAUAAUCCCGAAGGACCACAAGCAAACCCUCUAAUAAUGAGAUUACUCAACUGAAUCUGAGACUAAGAUCAAGCCUAUCUAACGGGUGAACUCUGGAUCUAAUAAUACUGAUACUGAAUAUCUUUAUAUGAUACCAUGCCUAUCUAGUGGGUGGUUAAUGAAUUAAUAGAACUAUCUGAGUUCCUUACAGAGAUAGGUAACUAUAUCUAGCAAUCCUAAUUUCUGAGUUCUACUCUGAAGACUAAUAUUGAAACUGUAACUUUGGGAGUUCUCACUUACCCAACAUGCCCCAAAUCUGAACUAGUGGGUUCUAACCUAUAACCCCAGCUGGAAGGGGAGUCAAUACCUUGCCAUAGGUAAAUACCUCUACUUUGGUCAAGCCUAUCUAAUGGGUGACCCUCAUAGGAAGUCAAGCCUAAGGCAGUAUAAUAGUCAAGCCUUAUUCUAAUGGGUGACUCCUGCUCAUGUGCUGGCUAUGCAUUUCUGGAGUUCAGGGAUUGCUCCUAACGACUCUACGUCUCUAACGGGGAGCUGCCAUCCCUGCACUCCCUCGGUGCUAGCUCUAACUCCCAACUGAAAGACUCUAAAAUAAUUCUUAACUAAACUUAAACUUAGCUGAAUCUGUUACCAAUCAUAUUUCGUGAAUAACCAAACUGAGUUACACUAAAUUCACUUAGUUCCUUAUCUAUUGGAAUACUACUAAAUCUUGUUAUCUGACUACAUGAUACUGAGUUUUGAACUGAAUACUUAAAUACUACUAGAUCAUAGCUGAGUACUAAAAUGUGGCUAGAAUACUAGCGAUACUGAUAUUACUGAGAUUUCUUAAGUUUUGUAUCUGUCUGAGAGUACAGAGUUCUAUUACUCACUGAGUUCUGAGAAUUGUGGCUUAUCCGAGAUUAUCGAGGAAACUGACACGAGCUCUAGACUAUAGCUAAUUUGUUGGGUAUAAAUACCCCCAGGACUCGAUAACAUAAAAGAAAAACAUAACCAUUCUUGAAUAAUCAAGACCAUAGACAUUCAUUCACCAUCACAAACACUAAAACAUCUCUUCAAGUAUAUAGAAAUUAUAAACAUGUGAUAGUAUAGGGAGACAUGCUAUUGGCUCACACUCCAUUCAACAAGGUCUUACAUCAAACACUCAGCAUGUAUUAAAGUCUUAGAAUGUAUCAAAGAGAACAUAAUUGGGUAAUUUCAUGAUAUCAUAUCAUAAUUCAUUCACUAAGGCUUUUCAACAAACACUUGGCAUACAUGGGUUUUCACACAAUUGGGAAUUUCUAGUCCACAUGCUAUAAUGGCUCUAAUUCUCUUACAUAAGCAUUUUAUCAAACAUAUGGAGAGCAUGCUUUGGUUAUUCACAAUUUCUACCCUUAAUUGACAUAAAAAACUCACCUAACAUGCAACUUGAAGAGGGUUUAUCAUUAACAUCACAUAAAUAUCACAUACUAGGAUCAAAGCUUGAAACUUUGUAAACAAAACAUGAAUUAAAACACAAUAAUAACAUGAACUUCAUUUUCAAUUCACAUGAAUCAUGAAAAAUCAUAAAUAUAAGAUCUUUGAAUUUAGAAAAGGGUUCUUGAGCUUCUUGGGUGGAAGGAACCCAAAUAUCAACAUCUGCAUACCUUGUUAUAUGAUUCUUGAAAGAUUUACGGAGGAAUCUUAAUGACUUGGGUCUUGGGUUAGAAACCCUAGGUCUUGUUCUUGAUUUCUUGCGAGAGAAAAUAUUUUUAUUUGGUGAAAAAUGAUGAAUAAAGAAGUAUUUUUGUUAUUUAGGGUAUGGAUCCCUCAUAUAGACUGGUUUGGGUCUUUAGGAAAUUACCAAUUGGUCCUUGAAAUUUAAAAAUCGAAUCUAAAAAUCCCGAUUUCACAUGCUGGCACGACGUGGUGGAAACACACCAGCUCACUAAAAACUGGACAAUUGGGAAACUGGUUGGUGGCGCGAUGCAGUGGAAAUCGCGUUGCCACCUUCAUUGCGAACUUGAAAGACACCACAACGCGGUGGAAUCGCGUUGGUGCACUGGAAAUUGACAACUCUGAAAUAAAGCCUUGGCGUGAUGCACCAUUAACACAGAGGCUCACUUGAUUUUGACGAUUGCCAUUUUGUCUGGCUCCGCGAUGUGCUAAAGUGCCAGGUGGCACACUGUCUCACUAAAAUAGCUAUAACUCUUCGCCCGAGUGUCAGAUUUAAGAAAAUUUUGUAUCAACAGAAAGCUUAUCCAAUUAUCUACAUGAAAAAAAUUUGAUAUUAGGGAAAUUCUAUAUGGUUCAAAAUACUUCUCAUUUGGGAAGGCACUUCUCAACCUUUUAGGACCGGAUUAACACUUUACUGAACACUCUGUAAGGCUUAACUAUGAGAUAAUUUUGCGGGGUCUUAAUGUACCACACAUGUAUAUUUAUUAAGACAAACCAUUUAAAACACAUUUAAACCAUUCAUAUUAUUUAGGGUUCUAUUACCAAGUUUAAACCAUGCCUAAGUUCCAUUAAAAACCCAAUAUUUUAAUAAACGCAUCGUUAUAAGCAUUUUAUCAAACACAUUGGAGCAUAGUUUUUCCAAAACCAAAAUCCCUUACCAAUAAACAUUCCCAUGCAAUCCGAUUAUGUUCCUCAUAUACAUGCAUCACCUGAGUAAUCUUCCGUACCUCCUCUAAAAACAACUGUGGAUCCUCAUCAGACUUGGACCCAUAGAAUUCUAGUGGAUUCAUCCGCAUGAAGUCAUGGAUCCUGGCAGCAGCUGAAUUACCUCCCUGCUACUGUGGAGCUGGGGCUGGGUUGGCCUGAACAUUUGCAGUAACAGCUUGGGCCAGCGCUUAAAAGGCUGCCCAAAAUUCAGCAUGAGACAUAUUUUCAUUCAAUGGGUCAGCAGGUUAAGGUUGCUGACCAUCAUUAUUUCUUCACGCUCGACGUGGAGGCAUAUUUCUGAAAGAGAAGAGCACGAAUCAAUAGCAGAGAGAGACACUUUAAGCACGAUAGACCUCUGAAAGAAAGAAUCACACUUUUUCCUAAAACUUCUUGUAGCCUAUUGCUCAUAGAUAUGGCGCGCUACACACCGAUGAACAAGACUCUACUUAACGCGGUUUGUCAGACCCACUAGGACACCUUAAAACCUUAGGCUCUGAUACCAAGUUUGUAACACCCCAAAAAUGGGUCUCGGAGCAUCACACGGUGCUUGAGGCUAUGAGUAGUCCCAAGCUAACCCUUGGACCCAUUUUUAUUUAGUUCAACACGAAUCAAUGGGGUUUUCAUAAAUAACCCUCAAAUAUCAACACAGUAAUCAUCAUCCAAGAAUAAAAGAAUUUCAGAAAGAUAAUAAAAUACGACUUAUUAGUCAACUCCCAACAUCUAUACUAGUUUGACAAGCCUCUAAGAAAAUUAAUAAAACCAGAGAGCCAUUAAGACAUGCCCCAACUAACUCAUACUCAGUUAUCAAAUGUAAACAAUUCUGUGGAACCAACAUCAGACAUCACGUCCUCAGAAUAUGAGGACUCACCACGAUAGAGGAUGUAGAACAGCGUGCCCAAAGAAUCACUGUCGAACCUAGAACUAAGCACCUAAACCUACAAAUCGAGGAAAUCCAGCCCACAUCUGAAGAUGUGGGUCAGUACCAUGGAAAGGAAUCGAGUAUAUGGGGGUGUAUGCAGUUUUAUAAACAUAAUCAUCAUAAAUAUUUAUAAAAAAUAAGCAGGAUGUAUGAAAGACUCACAUAGCCCGAAGAAAAUCAUCAUAAUCAUGAGAGGAUGAAAUAAGUACAAUAACACAUGUGAGUCAUCAUAUAAUUUGUCAAUCACUUUCAGUUCAUCAAGAAUAUCAAUUCUCAUAAUGUAAAUAUCAUUUAAAUCUUUCGAAAGAAUAACUUUCACAAUUCCACUUUCAAAUCACUUCACCAUUCACCAUAGACACAAGGAAACACACACACACUGAGAGAUCCUCUACAUGGAGUCCAACGUACAACCCACGUUAGGGAGAGCCGUCCUAUCCUUGCCAUCGGAGUAGGACUAUCAAUAUCAAAUCCACACAAACUAGUGAUCACUAUAUAAAUCAGCCUCAAGCUCACUCCUACGAGGGCAUGUAGUUCUAGGGAAGUAAGGUCGCUUUAUACCUCCCACUCGGUGCUAAAGAUUUCUCCCGAACUUAGCUCAGAUCAUUUCAAAGACAAUCAACAACAAAACAAUUUUAGUAAUAUAUAAAUAUACAUCGGGAGCCAUCAUACUUCCCAUCUAUCAAAAUCAACCACAUUGUAGAUUUCUAUCACACUCGAGUUCAAAACAACUCUAUUAAGAAUAAAAGGUCAAAUCAUUCAAAAUAUCUCAAAUAUUCAACAUCAAGGUGCUUAUAACAUAUACUUUCUCAAAAAGCACAAUUUCCAAUGGGGAUUCAUGACCCAAAUAUCAAAAUCAUGAUAAAUAAUGUUCAAGAUCCAUGUGUUAUAUCUCCACACAUGUAAAUUCAUCUUUCAAAAUCAUAAACAUCAAGAUUUCAUAAUAAUCAUCAUAAUAUAUGGGUUCGUGCUUCAAAUUCAUAAAAGUCAAAUAAAAAUCAUGCUUUUGUAAAAAAAAUUACUUUUGGGCACAAAAACGAAAGAGAGUUCUUGUUGAAAAACUCCACAUACCUUGAACGAUGAACUUUAGAUCGAUACUCAUUUUUGAGAUAUUAAUCGUGCCUUUGAAUGAUGGUUCUUGGAGUUCUUGAACUAGGAACUUAGAAUCUUGAAUAAAUUUGCAGAAUUAGUGGUAAACUUUGGAGGUUCUUGAAGUUGGAUGUAAGAGCUUAGAGUUUUCUUUUUGAGGGUAAUUUGAUGAAAUAUAACAUAUAAUGCUUCUAAUAGGCUUUAAUAUAGGGUUUGGACAGAUUUUGGGUGAGGGGGAAUGACCAAAACGCCCCUAAAAAUUAAAUAAUUCUCGAAUCUGUCCUUUAGUGGACUAUUUUGAUAGUCUGAAGUAGAUCAAUCAUAAUGUUUUACUUCAAUAUACAAAUUGGAUAAAACUAAUUUCAUUAGAAAGAGGACUCUCAUAUCUUUCCAUUGAUAUAUAGUAUCUCACCCAUAUCAUUAUGUACGAGGAGUUAUGAUCGUUUGAAGUUGACCAAAAAAUUUGCUUUUGAUAGACUGAAGUAGAUCGACCAUAACUUUUUACUCCGAUGGACAAAUUAGAUGAAACCAAUUUCAUUGGAAAGAGGACUCACAGAUAUUUCCGUUCAUAUAUAGUAGAUCACCCAGAUCAUUAUGUACAAGGAGUUAUGAUCAUUUAAAGUUGGAGCAAAAGUAUGCCAAGUCUCAGUACUUUUUCCUGCACAUUUUACUGUUCACUACUAUUCACGGUUCGAUCGGAAUAUUCAUAACUCGUCCUGCACAUUUUACUGUUCACUACUAUUCAUGGUUCGAUCGGAAUAUUCAUAACUCGUCGCUCGGGUGUCCAUUUUGGAUGAUCCAGAUAUCAUUGGAAAGCUUAUUCAAUACUCUACGCAAUGGUGGGUCAUAUCUAAGACAUUCCGCAUGAAAAAUUUAUAAUUCAUUCUAGAAGAUAGAACCCAACACGUUUACACACAAAAUUUCAAAAAAAAAAAUUCUCGGGGUAUUACAAUGAGUCAGCUAGUCGACUCACAUUCUACCUAUAUUGAGAAACUAGAACAACAAAUGAACUAGUUAUCUACAGUAUUCAACUAGAGAAAAAGCUGAACAUUAUCGAGUGAUACAAUGCAAAAUCCUUGAAAUGAUGGCUCUUGCAUGGCGAUUACCACUUGAAGUGGUAAAGUAUUAUCGGGCCCUUUUGUUGGAAAAUCUUUGAUUGAUGAUGGGAUGGAGUUAGAUGCAGAAGUAGAAGAAAACCAUCCAGUAGAGACUAAGAAGCUGGAUAAUGAUAAGAUUUUAUCUAAACAUCAGCAGGUUGAUGAGUUAGAUAAAGAUAAGGUAAAGGAUGGAUGACACAAAAUUUAGCAAGUUCCUGGCAAUGCUAAAAUAGUUGAUGGUGAAUGUGUCUUUAGUGGAGGCAUUGGAACAAAUGUCUGGCUAUGCUAAGUUCAUGAAGGAUCUUGUGACAAAGAAAAGAAUAGUAAGGUACGAACCAGCGGACAAACUUCACCAUUGUAGAGCUAUUUCUACAAGAUCCUUGGUGCAGAAGAAAAUGGACCCAGGAGCUUUCACUAUCCCUUGUACUAUUGGAUUACUUAAUUUUUCUAAGGCCUUGUGUGACCUUUGGGAAAGUAUUAAUCUGAUGCCACUGGCAGUUUACAAGAAGUUGGGUUUGGGAGAUACUACACCCACCAAUAUGCAACUUGUAAUGCCAAACAGAUUAGUGAAGCGGCUAGUCGAAAUAUUAUAUAAUGUGCUUUCAAAAGUGGCUAGUUUUAUUUUCCCUAUUGAUUUUUUCAUCUUGGAUUGUGAGGUGGACAUUGAGGUACCCAUAAUCUUGGGUAGACCUUUCCUUGCAAUCGGGAGUGAGUUGAUUGACUUGCAAACUAAUAAGCUGAAGUUUAGGCUCAAUGAGAAGGUGGUCAUUUUUUAUGUUUGAAAGUCAAUAAAGUAGCAAAAGGAGAUAAGUGUAUUCUUGAUCAUUGAUAUAUAUUAUGAGAUAAACAUGAGGUACCGAUUGAGGAUAAAUAUGGCAUGGAAACAUUGGUUGCUAUGUUGAUAAAAUUUGCUAGUGAGGGUAUCGAAGAAUAUGAAAAGAUGGUGUGUGCAUUAACUGGGAUAGGAUCAUAUUCAUAUGCUCCCAAGAAGCUAGACUUGGACCUUAAAAUUUGCCUAACACCACCGGCUAAGCCAUCUAUUAAAGAGCCACCGACGUUGGAACUUAAUGAGUUGCCAGGCCAUCUGCGCUAUGCAUUCUUAGUAGUGAUAACACUUUGCCGGACAUUAUUGCAGCAGAUUUGGUAAAGCUGCAGGUUAAGGCCCUUAUUUUUGUUCGUAGGAGGUACAAAAAGCUAUCGGAUGGAUGAUUGCAGAUAUUAUUAGUAUCCCUCCAAGCAUAUGUACCCAUAAGAUCUAGCUAGAAGAUGAUUGCAGAUCGACCUUUGAGCAUCAAUGUAGACUAAACCUACCUAUGCAAGAAGUGGUGAAAAAAGAGAUUGUAAAGUAGCUUGAUCCAGGGGUAGUGUACCCGAUCUCUAACAGUAAGUGGGUAAGUCCAGUACAGUACGUGCCCAAGAAAGGAGGUGGACUGUGGGUGAUAAUAAGAAGAAUGAGAUAAUUCUGCUUAGGCCAAUAAAUAGGUGGUGAGUUUGCAUAGACUACUGAAAUUUGAAUUCAUGGAUGUUAAAAUAUCAUUUUUCAAUGCCCUUCAUGGAUCAAAUGCUUGAUCGCUUAGAAUGAAGGGGUUGGUAUUGCUUUUUGGAUAGAUAUUCGGGAUACAACCAGAAUAGGGUCCACUUGCUAAAUAAGACAUCUUGUGGUUUGGGUCCACUUGCCAUGCAAGAUAAGAUAGCUCGUGAUUAGGUUCCACUUGUUAUACAAGAUACAACGGCUUAUGGUUUGGGUCCACUUUCCAUAUAAGACAUAACGGCUUGAGGUUAGGGUCCUCUUUCUAUAAUAGAUGAGACAGCUAGAGGUUAGGUUCCUUUUGCUUAAUAUAACCUAAAGGUUCAAACGUUCUUAACUAGAAGGGUGGAAGGUUGGAGUCCUUCACUACAUCUUUCAUGAUUGAGUGUUUUCAAAAAGGCAUGCUAAGCCUUGUUUUUUCCUUUUUGGCACGUUAUGAAUCUAUAUAUGUGUACGUAUAUAAAUAUGGUUGCAUAUGAUGGUUUGACUUGGUAUUAAAUAAUGGUACUAGUUUAUCCUUAUCCUUGAGUUACAUGUUAGUGCUCCAACUGUUAACCAUCUCCGAACGUUAUGUGCCCACGUGACAUAGGGGCCAAAGCUUCUUCUUCUCUUCUUGCGUAGUGACAGGUGUUCGAGUGGUUCAUGUGUUGACAUUGAAGUGGUGAACUUCCAUAUUUCAGAAGACAUACAUUUUAUAGUCUUUCAAUCUUAUGCUAUAGAUUUGUUUUAGACUUGGCUUAUGGUUAUUAUCAGGGGCAUGUCCCGAAAUAUUAUAGACAUCGGAUUUGUAGAGGCUUUGUGUAUGAUUGUGGACUUGGGUAUAUUGGUUAGUAUAUUGAUGUAAAUGAAUUGAUUAGACAUCUCUUAAGUCAUAAUCAUUAGUCUUUUUUCCGCUACCUUAUUAUAUGUUCGGAGUUCAUCCGGCACUUGCCGUUUGAUAUGAUGGUUAGGUUGGGUUAAUGGGCAAUCUUCGAUCCUUGUUGGGCUUGAAAUGCCCAUUUGACAAGGCCCAAUUUUGGGUCGUGUCACCUACCUAGAUUAUUGCUACUUACUCCAAAAGAGGAGUAGUGACUAGGAAAAGAUAAUUACAACAGCGAUUUGAAUAUUAAUCGUCGAUCCAUGCUAAUAGGUAUUAUCUAAGUAAAAUCAUUAACUAACAUCUAAUAACUAGAGACCCAAAAGGUAAUAUUUAAUUGGGAUCAAGGAUAAGUGUUGGUAAGGUGACAUCUUGAGACUCAAAAGGUAAAGGGUGGAAUCCAUUAACUAGUCCAAAAGACAGUUGAUAGUACAUAACUUAUCAGAUUCUGCAUGCAAGAUAUCGGGUUGGUUCAAUAAAAGCACAAUAAGCCUAUUGAAUUGAGAAGUUAGGGAAAACAAAAUCCUACUGUUCAUCUACAACUUAUUACAACCAGAGUUGAUAUUUGUUAUUUGUUCGAUAUUACCACUAUAAUCCCCUAUUUACUUUUUCAGUUCUGCCCGUUGAUUACAAUAGUUAAGAGCCACAAUUCCAUGUAUUUCCUUGGGAUUCAACCCCAACCGUUGUUGGGCUACUAUAUUUGACAAAGAAUGCAUUAUCUUCAGAUUGAAGGUGUACCUUGGGCAUUAUUAGGGACAAUGCUAGAGAUGAGGAGAUAGAGGUCCAACAUUUUGUUAGAAAUGGAGAAUGGGAUAAAGAGUUGCUAUUAUCUCAACUGUCAGAAAAAAUGGUUGAUCUUAUCAUUAGAAAUAUUAAGGCUCUUAGGAAUGGUAACUCUAAUGAUCUCCCUUAGUGGAUGGGUGGUACUCAUGGCAUGUUCUUAGUUAAAACAACCUAGAAUCACAAGUAAGAGACAAGGAGAGAUUAUGAUUUCAUCUAGGCCAAAGGUUUGCCUUUUAAGGUGAAUUUUUUUUAUAUGGAGGUUGUAGAAAAGGAGAAUUGCAACUGAUGAUAACUUUAAAAGAAUGAGAAUAUAGUUGGUAUCAAGGUGUUGGUGUUGUGAGGAGAAUGUCAAGGAAAUAAUGUCUUAUCUAUUUCUAACAUCCCCUGUAGCCAUGAGGCUAUGAAGGCAGUUUGCUUAUUUUGCAAGUAUUCAAGUGGAGAACAUGCAACUUCAAUAGCUUAUAAUAGUUUGGUGGAAGUAAGCACCAACAAAAUUAAAGGUGUUAUAUAGAGCAAUACCAACUAUAAUAAUUUGGACUCUAUAGAAGAGAAGAAAUUAUAUUAAACAUGGAGGAACUGUACAGUUCACUGGAAUGGUCAUACAGAUAUAUGAUGUGGUGAAAAAGGUUAUCAAAAUACUAUAUCCCUGGAUAAAGAGUGAGCAUGGACAUGGCUAGAAGUUAUUGCCAAGAUAAAAGCCCACAAGCCCAAGUUGCACUAUCACAGUGGAAUUUGGAGGAAGCCAGAGAACCAGCAGGUGAAGUGAAACACUGAUGGAGCUUGCAGAGGAAAUCCUGGGAUAAGUUCCUGUGGUUUCUGCCUAAGGGAUAACAAAGUAGAUCUAAUAUAUGCAAGAGCAAAGGGAUUGGGAGCAGGCACUAACACAGAAGCUAAAUAAUUAGCAAUAAAAGAAGCCUUAGAGUACUGUUAUGAAAAGAACAUAAUUGACUUUAUUCUUGAAAUAGACUCCUUUGGCCUCAGAAAAAUGAUUCUACAACAGUGGAAAGUGCCUUAGGAAUUAGCAGAGCUAUUUGAUAAGGUUAGGAAGAAUGGACAGAAGAUGAAUGUUAUAGUCAUGCACAUAUUCUAGGAAGGAAACACUGUGGAAGAUUCCUUAGCCAAUGAGCUGAUUGAAUCAAAAAUGACAUAGGAAUUCCAUAAUUUUCAUGAACUUCCAACACAUACAAAAAUACUGAUUAACAUAGAUAAAGCAUAGAUCCCAAACACCAGGGUGAAAAGACAAAGAUAAUACCACAAUGAGAAACAAAAGAAGAAUCACAAAUACAAGAAAAUAGGAAAUUCAUUCAAGUUGUAAGAGCAUGGAUGUACCAAUAAUAUUUACAAAGCUACAGUUAUCCAAAAACACUAGCACGCCAUAAUUAAUGAAAGAGCAUGCCUAGAAGAAGACAUUACAACAGUGCCAAUAAAAGUUAGGACUAAAAGUUUUAGCUAUCAAAAACCUGCACCAAAAAUAGAGGUUUUUGGGGCGUUGCACUACCAUGGAUCACCAGUUGUAGAUGCAGAAGAAUCGAGACUGCCACAAUCUCAAUCCCACCUGAAAUGUGGAUAAAUAGGUCAGAAAUGGAGUAAAUGAAAAAGGAAAAGAAAAGACAAGAGAGAAAACAUAUUGGUAUCUCAUGAUCUGGUGGAAAUGGUAUUCCUUCUAUGGUUCCUUGGGGUUAAAACCCAACCACCUACGAGAUCAAAAGUUAGGUUAAUAAAUGAAAAGAAAAGAGAGAAGAAGGAAAAAGAGAGAAGCUCACUAUGAAAUAGUGAAGAGGGUAGACAGAGCUCAACAAUCACCAUUGUAGGCUCAUGCUUGAACACGACCAAAAGGAGGAAGAACUUCAGCUUGCAAGUUCCACCGGCAACACUUCGACAGCAUGGUUCAACUCACAAGGCAGCAGCAAGUAGAAAGAAAGAGUACUUUGUACUUGAAGAAUAAAGGCAGAUAUUUAUACUACUUUAGGAAACGUUUUAUUUUCCUCUUUAUUUUGGAUCGAGUUCUAUUUUG
RNAcentral lists this long non-coding RNA (17186 nucleotides) under Capsicum annuum. RNAcentral describes it as "long non-coding RNA (CANN_LNC012655)". Lineage: Eukaryota; Viridiplantae; Streptophyta; Magnoliopsida; Solanales; Solanaceae. The record is from RNAcentral.